GCCAGGUGAGGUGGCACACACCUAUAAUCCCAGUGACUUGGGAGGCUGAGGCAGGAGAAUUGCAAGUUCAAAGCCAGCCUUAGCAACUUAAUGAGGCUCUAAGCAAUUAAGCAAGACCCUGUCUCAA
Molecule: small RNA, 127 nt
Filed under: Marmota monax (woodchuck)
Lineage: Eukaryota; Metazoa; Chordata; Mammalia; Rodentia; Sciuridae
Source: RNAcentral